This 484-nucleotide ribosomal RNA is filed under the name uncultured archaeon. RNAcentral's name for it is "bacterial SSU rRNA". It matches the Rfam family "Archaeal small subunit ribosomal RNA", at positions 156 to 647 of the family's 1478-position model. The record is from RNAcentral.
GUUAUGGAUGCUGGAAUGCUUCAUAGCCAAAAGCCCCGGCGCCUAAGGAUGACUCUGCGGACUAUCAGGUAGUAGUCAGGGUAACGACCUGACUAGCCUACGACGGAUACGGGGUGUGAGAGCACUAGCCCGGAGAUGGAUUCUGAGACACGAAUCCAGGCCCUACGGGGUGCAGCAGGCGCGAAACUUCCGCAAUGCUCGCCAGAGUGACGGAGGGAUUCCAAGUGCCUAUGCUAUGCGUAGGCUGUUUUUAUGUCUAAAUAACAUGGAGAGUAAGAGCUGGGUAAGACGGGUGCCAGCCGCCGCGGUAAUACCUGCAGCUCGAGUGGUAACCGCUAUUAUUGGGCCUAAAGCGUCCGUAGCCGGUUUGGUAAAUAUCUGGGUAAAUCGUGAGGCCUAACUUCACGAAUUUCGGAUAGACUGCCAGACUUGGGAUCGGGGGAGGUCAGAGGUACUCCANGGGUAGCGGUGAAAUGUUGUAANC